Molecule: ribosomal RNA, 468 nt
Filed under: uncultured bacterium
Lineage: Bacteria
Description: partial 16S ribosomal RNA
Rfam family: Bacterial small subunit ribosomal RNA
Source: RNAcentral
GACGAACGCUGGCGGCGUGCUUAACACAUGCAAGUCGAACGGAAAGGCCCUGCUUUUGUGGGGUGCUCGAGUGGCGAACGGGCGAGUAACACGUGAGUAACCUGCCCUUGACUUUGGGAUAACUUCAGGAAACUGGGGCUAAUACCGGAUAGGAGCUCCUGCUGAAUGGUGGGGGUUGGAAAGUUUCGGCGGUUGGGGAUGGACUCGCGGCUUAUCAGCUUGUUGGUGGGGUAGUGGCUUACCAAGGCUUUGACGGGUAGCCGGCCUGAGAGGGUGACCGGCCACAUUGGGACUGAGAUAUGGCCCAGACUCCUACGGGAGGCAGCAGUGGGGAAUAUUGCACAAUGGGCGGAAGCCUGAUGCAGCAACGCCGCGUGCGGGAUGACGGCCUUCGGGUUGUAAACCGCUUUCGCCUGUGACGCAGCGUGAGUGACGGUAAUGGGUAAAGAAGCACCGGCUAACUACGUG